UACGUAGGGGGCAAGCGUUGUCCGGAUUUACUGGGCGUAACGAGCGCGUCGGCGGAAUGGUGAGCGGGGCCGGAAAGCCCCCGGCUCAACCGGGGAAGGGGCCGCGAACUGCCAUUCUUGAGGGGGAGAGGGGAGAGUGGAAUUCCUGGUGUAGCGGUGAAAUGCGUAGAGAUCAGGAGGAACACCCAUGGCGAAGGCAACUCUCUGGCUUCACCCUGACGCUGAGGCGCGAAAGCGUGGGGAGCGAACGGG
RNAcentral lists this ribosomal RNA (252 nucleotides) under uncultured bacterium. RNAcentral describes it as "partial 16S ribosomal RNA". It matches the Rfam family "Bacterial small subunit ribosomal RNA", at positions 524 to 776 of the family's 1533-position model. The record is from RNAcentral.